This 1030-nucleotide long non-coding RNA is filed under the name Homo sapiens (human). RNAcentral describes it as "H19 imprinted maternally expressed transcript". Lineage: Eukaryota; Metazoa; Chordata; Mammalia; Primates; Hominidae. The record is from RNAcentral.
CAGGAGGGAGGAUGGUGCAGGCAGGGGUGAGGAGCGCAGCGGGCGGCGAGCGGGAGGCACUGGCCUCCAGAGCCCGUGGCCAAGGCGGGCCUCGCGGGCGGCGACGGAGCCGGGAUCGGUGCCUCAGCGUUCGGGCUGGAGACGAGGCCAGGUCUCCAGCUGGGGUGGACGUGCCCACCAGCUGCCGAAGGCCAAGACGCCAGGUCCGGUGGACGUGACAAGCAGGACAUGACAUGGUCCGGUGUGACGGCGAGGACAGAGGAGGCGCGUCCGGCCUUCCUGAACACCUUAGGCUGGUGGGGCUGCGGCAAGAAGCGGGUCUGUUUCUUUACUUCCUCCACGGAGUCGGCACACUAUGGCUGCCCUCUGGGCUCCCAGAACCCACAACAUGAAAGGAAUCGGCUCUGGAAGGUGAAGCUAGAGGAACCAGACCUCAUCAGCCCAACAUCAAAGACACCAUCGGAACAGCAGCGCCCGCAGCACCCACCCCGCACCGGCGACUCCAUCUUCAUGGCCACCCCCUGCGGCGGACGGUUGACCACCAGCCACCACAUCAUCCCAGAGCUGAGCUCCUCCAGCGGGAUGACGCCGUCCCCACCACCUCCCUCUUCUUCUUUUUCAUCCUUCUGUCUCUUUGUUUCUGAGCUUUCCUGUCUUUCCUUUUUUCUGAGAGAUUCAAAGCCUCCACGACUCUGUUUCCCCCGUCCCUUCUGAAUUUAAUUUGCACUAAGUCAUUUGCACUGGUUGGAGUUGUGGAGACGGCCUUGAGUCUCAGUACGAGUGUGCGUGAGUGUGAGCCACCUUGGCAAGUGCCUGUGCAGGGCCCGGCCGCCCUCCAUCUGGGCCGGGUGACUGGGCGCCGGCUGUGUGCCCGAGGCCUCACCCUGCCCUCGCCUAGUCUGGAAGCUCCGACCGACAUCACGGAGCAGCCUUCAAGCAUUCCAUUACGCCCCAUCUCGCUCUGUGCCCCUCCCCACCAGGGCUUCAGCAGGAGCCCUGGACUCAUCAUCAAUAAACACUGUUACAGCAA